RNAcentral lists this ribosomal RNA (474 nucleotides) under uncultured Desulfobulbus sp. RNAcentral describes it as "bacterial SSU rRNA". It matches the Rfam family "Bacterial small subunit ribosomal RNA", at positions 915 to 1382 of the family's 1533-position model. The record is from RNAcentral. Lineage: Bacteria; Pseudomonadati; Thermodesulfobacteriota; Desulfobulbia; Desulfobulbales; Desulfobulbaceae.
GAGGGGCCCGCACAAGCGGUGGAGUAUGUGGUUUAAUUCGAUGCAACGCGAAGAACCUUACCUGGUCUUGACAUCCCGGAGACCCUUAGGAAACUAGGGGGUGCUUCCAUCUGGAAGAAUCUGGAGACAGGUGCUGCAUGGCUGUCGUCAGCUCGUGUCGUGAGAUGUUGGGUUAAGUCCCGCAACGAGCGCAACCCUUGCCUUUAGUUGCCAGCAGUUCGGCUGGGCACUCUAAAGGGACUGCCGGUGUUAAACCGGAGGAAGGUGGGGAUGACGUCAAGUCCUCAUGGCCUUUAUGACCAGGGCUACACACGUACUACAAUGGCCGAUACAAAGGGCAGCGACACUGCGAGGUGAAGCCAAUCCCGUAAAAUCGGUCUCAGUCCGGAUUGGAGUCUGCAACUCGACUCCAUGAAGUUGGAAUCGCUAGUAAUCGUGGAUCAGCAUGCCACGGUGAAUACGUUCCCGGGCCUU